GAUGAACGCUGGCGGCGUGCUUAACACAUGCAAGUCGAACGAUGAUCCGGUGCUUGCACCGGGGAUUAGUGGCGAACGGGUGAGUAACACGUGAGUAACCUGCCCUUAACUCUGGGAUAAGCCUGGGAAACUGGGUCUAAUACCGGAUAUGACUCCUCAUCGCAUGGUGGGGGGUGGAAAGCUUUUUUGUGGUUUUGGAUGGACUCGCGGCCUAUCAGCUUGUUGGUGAGGUAAUGGCUCACCAA
This 245-nucleotide ribosomal RNA is filed under the name uncultured bacterium. RNAcentral's name for it is "partial 16S ribosomal RNA". It matches the Rfam family "Bacterial small subunit ribosomal RNA", at positions 28 to 271 of the family's 1533-position model. The record is from RNAcentral.